This 301-nucleotide ribosomal RNA is filed under the name uncultured bacterium. RNAcentral describes it as "partial 16S ribosomal RNA". It matches the Rfam family "Bacterial small subunit ribosomal RNA", at positions 509 to 807 of the family's 1533-position model. The record is from RNAcentral.
CAGCAGCCGCGGGAAUACGUAGGGUGCGAGCGUUAAUCGGAAUUACUGGGCGUAAAGCGUGCGCAGGCGGUUAUAUAAGACAGAUGUGAAAUCCCCGGGCUCAACCUGGGACCUGCAUUUGUGACUGUAUAGCUAGAGUACGGUAGAGGGGGAUGGAAUUCCGCGUGUAGCAGUGAAAUGCGUAGAUAUGCGGAGGAGCACCGAUGGCGAAGGCAAUCCCCUGGACCUGUACUGACGCUCAUGCACGAAAGCGUGGGGAGCAAGCAGGAUUAGAUACCCCCGUAGUCCCUGUCUCUUAUAC